GGUUGUCGUCAGCUCGUGUCGUGAGAUGUUGGUUAAGUCCCGCAACGAGCGCAACCCUUGUCUUCAGUUACCAUCAUUCAGUUGGGGACUCUGGAGAGACUGCCGGUGACAAACCGGAGGAAGGUGGGGAUGACGUCAAAUCAUCAUGCCCCUUAUGACCUGGGCUACACACGUACUACAAUGGCGUAUACAACGGGAAGCGAAAUGGUGACAUGGAGCAAAUCUCACAAAGUACGUCUCAGUUCGGAUUGAAGUCUGCAACUCGACUUCAUGAAGUCGGAAUCGCUAGUAAUCGCGGAUCAGCAUGCCGCGGUGAAUACGUUCUCGGGCCUU
Molecule: ribosomal RNA, 333 nt
Filed under: uncultured Erysipelothrix sp.
Lineage: Bacteria; Bacillati; Bacillota; Erysipelotrichia; Erysipelotrichales; Erysipelotrichaceae
Description: bacterial SSU rRNA
Rfam family: Bacterial small subunit ribosomal RNA
Source: RNAcentral